GGGGAUGACAGGCUUCGACGGGAGAGGCUGUCGUUAGACUGCGAGCCGAGAGGCGCCGAUCUCGUAAAACCAGCGCAACAAACUAACUGGCACUAACUCUGCCUAUAACGCUCUUCCGCUCGCCGCCUAAUCGCGGCUAGCCGGAGCAGAUCUCAUGCGUGAGAUCCGUCCCCCGGCAGGCGCUUGCAGAUCGCAAGCCGAUGGGGCGACACAAUAGUCUGCAUGCCGUGCGAGCCGCCGUGCCUCGCGCGAAAGA
Molecule: transfer-messenger RNA, 256 nt
Filed under: Chloroflexota bacterium
Lineage: Bacteria; Bacillati; Chloroflexota
Description: Chloroflexi bacterium partial transfer-messenger RNA
Rfam family: transfer-messenger RNA
About the family: Bacterial tmRNA, also known as 10Sa RNA or SsrA, is named for its dual tRNA and mRNA-like properties.
Source: RNAcentral